GAUUACCAGACUACUCCACUGGGAGACA
RNAcentral lists this unclassified non-coding RNA (28 nucleotides) under Mus musculus (house mouse). RNAcentral's name for it is "oocyte_clustered_small_RNA318". The record is from RNAcentral. Lineage: Eukaryota; Metazoa; Chordata; Mammalia; Rodentia; Muridae.